RNAcentral lists this ribosomal RNA (321 nucleotides) under Triticum aestivum (bread wheat). Its description in RNAcentral is "partial small subunit ribosomal RNA". The record is from RNAcentral. Lineage: Eukaryota; Viridiplantae; Streptophyta; Magnoliopsida; Poales; Poaceae.
AUGUGCGGAGAAGGUCACCUACUACAAGAAAGAAGAACACAAGAAGGCAUGCCCGUAUGCUCCAUGCUUCUGCCCAGAGUCGGGUUGUGGCUUCGCUGGACCAACAAAGGUGCUCCUGGACCAUUUCACUACCCAACACAAGUGUCCGUCGACAACUCUCCCAGACUCCGGCACGGUGUCUCUUCGCCUACAACCAGGCUUACAUGUUCUGCGAUGCACCGGCUACUUUUUCUUGCUCAGCAUGGCAUCAGAGCCUUUUUGACAUGCCAUCUCAGUCCUCUGCGUCCAACCAAUAGUUACGGAACCCAGGUUCAAAUGUAA